Molecule: long non-coding RNA, 1024 nt
Filed under: Numida meleagris (helmeted guineafowl)
Lineage: Eukaryota; Metazoa; Chordata; Aves; Galliformes; Numididae
Description: lncRNA (ENSNMEG00000021830.1)
Source: RNAcentral
GGCUGCACGGGAAAAGUGUCAGCGCUGGGACUGCCUCACAUUGCUAAAUGUGCCACACAGGCAGUGACCCCAGGUGGGACAGGCAGCUGCGGAAAAGCCACCUUGUCCUCUGCAGCCAGAUGUACCAGAGUGCCUAUGGUGUCGAGGACACCAGAAACUGGAAAUGUAAACAGAAAUAAAACGACUAGGAGCAAGAAAAGUACAUCUCCACUAGUGUAAAUCAUGCUAGCAAAGGGAAGGCAACAUUUUCUGCACUUGGAAACAGUUCCAGGCUGCUGCGCUGUUCCAUGCUGCUGCCCGUGCCAUGGCUAUGCCUGCAGUACCUACAAGGCAGCUCUGUUUUGCUGGGCAAAACCAAGCAACAGGAGAUUGCUCUGACUGAACACAGUCUAAAUGGAAGGCUGGGCAGAUACUUAGGAACAUGAGAACUGGCAAAGCAGACACAGGGAUCAACAACUUCAUUCUGGUUAAAGACAAAGCAGAGCUGAGCUGAAACCGAAGCCUGGACACCCCUUUUUGUAGGCAUUUUGAUGAAGGUCUGCAUUUUGCAGGACAGGGUGCAUCACCACCCAGCUCGUUCAGCAGAUGUUUGUGCACCUUCAGUGCUGCCCAGUCCGGUUACCUUAUCCUGGCUGCAGAGUCCCCAUGAAUGGUCACACCAGGAUGCCCACAAAGGAACAGUGCAGGUGAACAGAUGAGAUGCAGACCUCUGAUGAGAACCUCUGGAACAGCUGGAAGGGACCACUGAUCUCUGCCUCCACCUUUUCACAUCUUCGUCCAGAAGCGUCACACAGAGUAACCUUGAUCAUCUGACGGCACAUGUUCUCUUCUGCCAACACUGCUGUGAACUGCUGUGGUGUAACAACAAAUAACUGUGAGGUGAUACCCUCUUAAACCAGCCCAGCUGAGAAAAAUGAAUCAGAGCAUUUACCUCGUCCAGCUGAGACCUGCAGUCUAGUAGCAGAAUGCAGAAAUUGAAUUAAACUGCAAAGCAGCAGUGGAAGCAAUGUAGGUACAGGCUUAU